Phoenix dactylifera (date palm) is the source of this 505-nucleotide non-coding RNA. The record is from RefSeq and is a predicted model, not a curated record. Lineage: Eukaryota; Viridiplantae; Streptophyta; Magnoliopsida; Arecales; Arecaceae.
AAUAAUAGAAGAAACAGUGAGCCAAACCUGUGGGUGAACUGCUCUAUAAACACCAUUACAAGAGAUUUGAAGGCAUCCGCACACCCAUCUCCAAUCUAAUCAGGAGUAUCAUCUCUAGAUUGCCGAGCAGAUAUGCUUCGCUGCACGAUUUGUGGGCCUCAACUCCAAGCUGAUAAUUUUAAGGUCGCAUGGCCGGAGCUUGUAGGAGUCCCAGCUCUGGAAGCAGAGAGAGUGAUCAAGAAAGACAAUCCCUUGGUGGACACAAUCGAGAAAAAGACUGCACCUGUUGUUCUCCCAGUCAAAUGUUGCAACCGUGUGAUUCUUGUGCUGGACUCACUUCCAAAUGGCAAAGUCAUUCAAGUCCCUCUCGUUGGAUAGGUCUCAAAUGCCAUGUUACCAAGUUAUGCGUGUGACUAAAUGCCGCAUAAGCUUUCUCAAAAUGGUCGAUCGGAAUGUCGAAGCUCAUAUCUGAUGAUAUAAUAAAACAGAUUUCGCUGUCCUCUCA